UAGGGAAUCUUCGGCAAUGGACGAAAGUCUGACCGAGCAACGCCGCGUGAGUGAAGAAGGUUUUCGGAUCGUAAAACUCUGUUGUUAGAGAAGAACAAGGACGUUAGUAACUGAACGUCCCCUGACGGUAUCUAACCAGAAAGCCACGGCUAACUACGUGCCAGCAGCCGCGGUAAUACGUAGGUGGCAAGCGUUGUCCGGAUUUAUUGGGCGUAAAGCGAGCGCAGGCGGUUUCUUAAGUCUGAUGUGAAAGCCCCCGGCUCAACCGGGGAGGGUCAUUUGAAACUGGGAGACUUGGGUGCAGAAGAGGAGAGUGGAAUUCCAUGUGUAGCGGUGAAAUGCGUAGAUAUAUGGAGGAACACCAGUGGCGAAGGCGGCUCUCUGGUCUGUAACUGACACUGAGGCUCGAAAGCGUGGGGAGCAAACAGG
RNAcentral lists this ribosomal RNA (429 nucleotides) under Gemmatimonadota bacterium. Its description in RNAcentral is "Gemmatimonadetes bacterium partial 16S ribosomal RNA". It matches the Rfam family "Bacterial small subunit ribosomal RNA", at positions 355 to 776 of the family's 1533-position model. Lineage: Bacteria; Pseudomonadati; Gemmatimonadota. The record is from RNAcentral.